UGAGGAAUAUUGGUCAAUGGGCGAGAGCCUGAACCAGCCAAGUAGCGUGCAGGAUGACGGUCUUAUGGGUUGUAAACUGCUUUUAUGUGGGGAUAAAGUGCGUGACGUGUCAUGCAUUGCAGGUACCACAUGAAUAAGGACCGGCUAAUACCGUGCCAGCAGCCGCGGUAAUACGGAAGGUCAGGGCGUUAUCCGGAUUUAUUGGGUUUAAAGGGAGCGUAGGCUGUUUAUUAAGCGUGUUGUGAAAUUUACCGGCUCAACCGGUGGCUUGCAGCGUGAAGUGGUCGACUUUAUUAUGCAGGAAGUGGGCGUAAUUCAUGGUGUAGCGGUGAAAUACUUAGUUAUCAUGACAAACUCCGAUUGCGCAGGCAGCUUACUGUAGCAUAACUGACGCUGAUGCUCGAAAGUGCGGGUAUCAAACAGG
RNAcentral lists this ribosomal RNA (424 nucleotides) under Fusobacteriota bacterium. RNAcentral's name for it is "Fusobacteria bacterium partial 16S ribosomal RNA". It matches the Rfam family "Bacterial small subunit ribosomal RNA", at positions 355 to 776 of the family's 1533-position model. The record is from RNAcentral. Lineage: Bacteria; Fusobacteriati; Fusobacteriota.